UACCGGCGGCUCGAGUGGUGGCCGAUAUUAUUGAGUCUAAAGGGUCCGGAGCCGGCUUUGCAAGUCCCCCGGGAAAUCCAGCGGCUUAACCGUUGGGCUUCCGUGGGAUACUACAUUGCUUGGGACUGGGAGAGGUAGGAGGUACUCGGGGGGUAGGGGUGAAAUCCUGUAAUCCUCCGGGGACCACCGGUGGCGAAGGCGUCCUACCAGAACAGGUCCGACGGUGAGGGACGAAAGCUAGGGGCACGAACCGG
This 254-nucleotide ribosomal RNA is filed under the name uncultured bacterium. Its description in RNAcentral is "partial 16S ribosomal RNA". It matches the Rfam family "Archaeal small subunit ribosomal RNA", at positions 474 to 727 of the family's 1478-position model. The record is from RNAcentral.